Molecule: long non-coding RNA, 1417 nt
Filed under: Salvia miltiorrhiza (redroot sage)
Lineage: Eukaryota; Viridiplantae; Streptophyta; Magnoliopsida; Lamiales; Lamiaceae
Description: long non-coding RNA (SMIL_LNC007692)
Source: RNAcentral
UGUGAAAAACUCAGCGUUUCUACAGAUUAGAAAUCGUAGACCCCCCCUCCGUUUUGUAAUAUUGAGAAGGAAGUGGAUCCAGAUUAGAAAAAUUUUGACCAAAAAACCCUCUCCAUAUAAUUGAAAAAUCAGAAUUUGCAACAAAAUUUGUAGAACCCUAGGAUCAGUUUUGAACGAGAACUAUUCUUCACAAACGCAGAAUCACGAACCCACAAAAGCGUCCAGCACACAUUCGGGUACUUCUGCCUCACCGGCCGCCGUAAAUCCGCACCCCUUCGCCGCCGCAUUUAAUCGCUGGAAAAUCUACCAAAUUGCGAGUCGGGGAGGACGGGAUUGAAGAAUCGCAGCUCAAUCUCAAGUGGGCUUCUUCACUCAUUUCCUGCAAAUCAAAAUCAGAGAACACUAAGUUCCGGCCAAGGAUCGAUUAUCAGCCUGCUUCCAGAAUUGACAAAGAACGAGGGUCGCUCGAAGCAGUAUAGCAGUGAGCAUUAAUCAGCCGAUGCAAAGGUAAAAUCACAAGCUUGCUUCUCCUCUUUCAUUUUCUUCAGAAAAGGCAUAAACAAACGGUUGAGAGAGAGAUAUUAUUUUCCCCCAAGAUUUCAGGAUUCCAGAUUAAAAUCAAAGCAUAUUUACCUGUAGUCUGGAUCCUUUGUUUUGCAGCAGUUUCCCAUCUGAUGCUUUAUUUCUUCAAGUGCAAUAAAACACCACUCAUGAAAAAAAAAAAGUUGGAAUUUUAUUUUUAAUUUUUAUAUAAUGCAGGACAAAACCUGGGCUAGAGAUGCUGUGUUAAAUGCAUUACAUGAUCCUUUGCUUGAUAUUGGUAUAGAGAGAGCUACUGGAAUUGUGUGGAAUAUAACUGGUGGUACUGAUCGAACAUUGUUUGAGGUAGCUCAGCCUUCUCCUUAUUUCAUUAUAUAAAAUUCACCAUUUCUGUGGAUCAUCGUGUUUUGCUAUUAGCAAUAGUACUUUUCCCAAUUUUUUCCGUUGGUUAUAAUGGGCCACAACUGAAUAUAAUUUUAUGGUUUGAAUUUCACCAAAAAUCUCUAGGGUUAAUUACUAAUUUUUUGGUGCAGGAAUAUUUGGAGCAUUUUUGGUCAACUUUUUGCUGGAAGAAAAUAUGUGGAAGGAAACCCUACAAUCUAGAAGAUUCGCCUGAUAUUUUUGUAAAUAUAAAUAUUAAUAAGGUUGUAGAAGUAAAACAAACGAUUAAUAUGGGUUUUAUUUUUCUAAACCAAACACAACAUAAAAUUAAUCCAAUGGGCCUUCUUUUAAACCAAACAUGUUAAACUAUACCUCAUGUUUCAAUUUAUCUUUUGUUUUAUCUCACUUUUAUUUUAUAUUGCCUAAUCAUAACAUGGAAUUCAAACAUGGCCUAGAAGUAUAUCUUUAUCGUUAAAGGCAUCGACAUUUACAGCUA